RNAcentral lists this unclassified non-coding RNA (280 nucleotides) under fungal sp. RNAcentral describes it as "partial internal transcribed spacer region". The stretch from base 1 to 46 matches the Rfam family "Eukaryotic small subunit ribosomal RNA", at positions 1786 to 1831 of the family's 1831-position model. Lineage: Eukaryota; Fungi. The record is from RNAcentral.
AAGUCGUAACAAGGUUUCCGUAGGUGAACCUGCGGAAGGAUCAUUAAUGAAUUCGAAUCGGUCGUCUGUGCUGGUGGCAACACAUGUGCACGUUGAUCGUCAUUCCAUUCUCCUUUCAAUCGUCCAAGUGUGUGUCUGGUCGACCUCGGUCGAAGAGUUGUGGCCCUCGGGCUUGAUUCGUUCCAGAUGCGCCUUGGUUAUCUCACCCACUCUGGGUAUUCGAAACAAAGAACAUUUUGUAUAAACUAUACAACUUUCAACAACGGAUCUCUUGGCUCUC